This 253-nucleotide ribosomal RNA is filed under the name uncultured bacterium. RNAcentral describes it as "partial 16S ribosomal RNA". It matches the Rfam family "Bacterial small subunit ribosomal RNA", at positions 524 to 776 of the family's 1533-position model. The record is from RNAcentral.
UACGGAGGAUCCAAGCGUUAUCCGGAUUUAUUGGGUUUAAAGGGUGCGUAGGCGGCGAAUUAAGUCAGAGGUGAAAGCCUGCAGCUCAACUGUAGAACUGCCUUUGAUACUGGUUCGCUUGAGUACAGAUGAAGUGGGCGGAAUGUGACAAGUAGCGGUGAAAUGCAUAGAUAUGUCACAGAACACCGAUUGCGAAGGCAGCUCACUAAAGUGUAACUGACGCUGAGGCACGAAAGCGUGGGGAUCAAACAGG